Molecule: transfer RNA, 84 nt
Filed under: Glycomyces rutgersensis
Lineage: Bacteria; Bacillati; Actinomycetota; Actinomycetes; Glycomycetales; Glycomycetaceae
Also listed under: 2 other names
Description: tRNA-Leu
Rfam family: tRNA
About the family: Transfer RNA (tRNA) molecules are approximately 80 nucleotides in length. Their secondary structure includes four short double-helical elements and three loops (D, anti-codon, and T loops).
Source: RNAcentral
GCCCGAGUGGUGGAAUCUGGUAGACACAGUCGGCUUAAAACCGGCCGUCGUGAGACUUGCGGGUUCAAAUCCCGUCUCGGGCAC